Molecule: ribosomal RNA, 253 nt
Filed under: uncultured bacterium
Lineage: Bacteria
Description: partial 16S ribosomal RNA
Rfam family: Bacterial small subunit ribosomal RNA
Source: RNAcentral
UACAGAGGUCUCAAGCGUUGUUCGGAUUCAUUGGGCGUAAAGGGUGCGUAGGUGGCGGGGUAAGUCAGGUGUGAAAUCUCGGAGCUCAACUCCGAAACUGCACUUGAUACUGCCUUGCUCGAGUACUGGAGAGGAGAUUGGAAUUUACGGUGUAGCAGUGAAAUGCGUAGAUAUCGUAAGGAAGACCAGUGGCGAAGGCGGGUCUCUGGACAGUUCCUGACGCUGAGGCACGAAGGCCAGGGGAGCAAACGGG